GCCUCUCAAAAUGGAUGCAGAUGGCGUCCUUUCCCAGUGCGGAGAGUCGAUAUCGUAGAAAAUGCCGUGUUGGCCGCUCUCACAUGCACAUUUUUGAAGGGGAUAUGUAAAAAUAUGAUCAAAAUAAAAAGAAGGGAAAUAUAGAAGAAACUAAAACAAAAUAUACUAUAACAGCAUAAUAGAAGAAGAAGAAGAAGAAAAAGAAAAACGAGACAGAGAAAACCAUGUCUAUAAUAACUUGAACAAAGUGCAAAUGUAAAAUAAUAUAAACAAAAUGUAUAUCAAACAUCGUAACAUUGUCAUACAAUAUUCAGAAGUAAUAUAGAAUAUGCAGCAUAACUUUGCUUUGUCAGAGUGGUAUCAUAUAAAUGUAUUAAUCAUUGUGUUACUCAUCAAUAUAGACUGAAUAAAUGUACCCAGACAGCACACGGAUGUCCAUUGGACGUCCAUUAUAUGUCCAUUUUUUUUUACAAAAGACGCCCAUAGGACGUACGUUUGUCACAACUUGGGACAUACGACGUCCGAUGUACGUCCAUCGAUGGACGGCCGAUGGACGUACAUCAGACGUCCUACAGGUCCGAUGUCCAAUAAGGACAUCCUUGUUACGUCCAAUUUAUGUCCACGGACGUAAAUCGGAUAUACGGACAUAAAUUGGACGUGAAACGUACAUCCAUUGGAUGCUCGGUGAUGUCUGGGUAGAUGUGGAUGAAUUACUUAGCAGGUUAUAAAUAGGCAGAACAUUGCAAAUUAUGAACCAAUAUUGUAGAUAGUACAAAUAUAAGAAUUGAUAAACUAAUAUAAGAUCAUGCAUCAUAAAUCAAUAGAAUAGUCCAGUACAAGAUAAAAUAAUUAAUAUUGUAAGUCAAAGAGAGAAGAAAAAUAAAAGAAAAAGAAAAAUAACAGGAUUGCAAUAAAUAACAUAAAUAACAGAAAUUAUAAAGAAAGAAAAAACUAUCAUACAGGUGAGUAAAUACAUAGUCUAU
Molecule: long non-coding RNA, 983 nt
Organism: Harpegnathos saltator (Jerdon's jumping ant)
Lineage: Eukaryota; Metazoa; Arthropoda; Insecta; Hymenoptera; Formicidae
Exons: 3
Source: RefSeq, a predicted model, not a curated record